CCUACGGGAGGCAGCAGUGGGGAAUAUUGCACAAUGGGCGCAAGCCUGAUGCAGCGACGCCGCGUGAGGGAUGACGGCCUUCGGGUUGUAAACCUCUUUCAGCAGGGACGAAGCGCAAGUGACGGUACCUGCAGAAGAAGCACCGGCCAACUACGUGCCAGCAGCCGCGGUAAUACGUAGGGUGCAAGCGUUGUCCGGAAUUACUGGGCGUAAAGAGCUCGUAGGCGGUUUGUCGCGUCGUCUGUGAAAACCAGCAGCUCAACUGUUGGCUUGCAGGCGAUACGGGCAGACUUGAGUAUUUCAGGGGAGACUGGAAUUCCUGGUGUAGCGGUGAAAUGCGCAGAUAUCAGGAGGAACACCGGUGGCGAAGGCGGGUCUCUGGGAAAUAACUGACGCUGAGGAGCGAAAGCGUGGGUAGCGAACAGGAUUAGAUACCCUGGUAGUCCACGCCGUAAACGGUGGGCGCUAAGGUGUGGGUUUCCUUCCACGGGAUCCGUGCCGUAGCUAACGCNUAGCGCCGCCGCGGAGGUACGGCCGCGACGACGUAAACGUUAAACGUAAAGUAGUACGGCGUGAGACGUGCGACGACGACGACGAGGGAGGAGG
Molecule: ribosomal RNA, 606 nt
Filed under: uncultured bacterium
Lineage: Bacteria
Description: bacterial SSU rRNA
Rfam family: Bacterial small subunit ribosomal RNA (bases 1-522)
Source: RNAcentral